RNAcentral lists this ribosomal RNA (1420 nucleotides) under Curtobacterium flaccumfaciens. RNAcentral describes it as "bacterial SSU rRNA". It matches the Rfam family "Bacterial small subunit ribosomal RNA". Lineage: Bacteria; Bacillati; Actinomycetota; Actinomycetes; Micrococcales; Microbacteriaceae. The record is from RNAcentral.
UGCUGGCGGCUGCGCCAUGCAGUCGACGAUGAUGCCCAGCUUGCUGGGUGGAUUAGUGGCGAACGGGUGAGUAACACGUGAGUAACCUGCCCCUGACUCUGGGAUAAGCGUUGGAAACGACGUCUAAUACUGGAUAUGAUCACUGGCCGCAUGGUCUGGUGGUGGAAAGAUUUUUUGGUUGGGGAUGGACUCGCGGCCUAUCAGCUUGUUGGUGAGGUAAUGGCUCACCAAGGCGACGACGGGUAGCCGGCCUGAGAGGGUGACCGGCCACACUGGGACUGAGACACGGCCCAGACUCCUACGGGAGGCAGCAGUGGGGAAUAUUGCACAAUGGGCGAAAGCCUGAUGCAGCAACGCCGCGUGAGGGAUGACGGCCUUCGGGUUGUAAACCUCUUUUAGUAGGGAAGAAGCGAAAGUGACGGUACCUGCAGAAAAAGCACCGGCUAACUACGUGCCAGCAGCCGCGGUAAUACGUAGGGUGCAAGCGUUGUCCGGAAUUAUUGGGCGUAAAGAGCUCGUAGGCGGUUUGUCGCGUCUGCUGUGAAAUCCCGAGGCUCAACCUCGGGCUUGCAGUGGGUACGGGCAGACUAGAGUGCGGUAGGGGAGAUUGGAAUUCCUGGUGUAGCGGUGGAAUGCGCAGAUAUCAGGAGGAACACCGAUGGCGAAGGCAGAUCUCUGGGCCGUAACUGACGCUGAGGAGCGAAAGCAUGGGGAGCGAACAGGAUUAGAUACCCUGGUAGUCCAUGCCGUAAACGUUGGGCGCUAGAUGUAGGGACCUUUCCACGGUUUCUGUGUCGUAGCUCACGCAUUAAGCGCCCCGCCUGGGGAGUACGGCCGCAAGGCUAAAACUCAAAGGAAUUGACGGGGGCCCGCACAAGCGGCGGAGCAUGCGGAUUAAUUCGAUGCAACGCGAAGAACCUUACCAAGGCUUGACAUACACCGGAAACGGCCAGAGAUGGUCGCCCCCUUGUGGUCGGUGUACAGGUGGUGCAUGGUUGUCGUCAGCUCGUGUCGUGAGAUGUUGGGUUAAGUCCCGCAACGAGCGCAACCCUCGUUCUAUGUUGCCAGCGGGUUAUGCCGGGGACUCAUAGGAGACUGCCGGGGUCAACUCGGAGGAAGGUGGGGAUGACGUCAAAUCAUCAUGCCCCUUAUGUCUUGGGCUUCACGCAUGCUACAAUGGCCGGUACAAAGGGCUGCGAUACCGUAAGGUGGAGCGAAUCCCAAAAAGCCGGUCUCAGUUCGGAUUGAGGUCUGCAACUCGACCUCAUGAAGUCGGAGUCGCUAGUAAUCGCAGAUCAGCAACGCUGCGGUGAAUACGUUCCCGGGCCUUGUACACACCGCCCGUCAAGUCAUGAAAGUCGGUAACACCCGAAGCCGGUGAGCCUAAUCCCGUGUGCUCGAUUCAGAGAGCCGUGUUCCC